AACAAUUAGGGGCCUUCAUCUCAUCCAAUCCAACAAAAGGGAACUCUUUUUCCUUUACAACAAAACUAUCUGAAAAUCCCUCAAACCUUAGAAUUCAUAUUCCUCAAUCCCUCUCUCUCUCACCUCUGCCAUCGCCGCCCACCGAAAAUCGCCUAGGAUGACGGCGCCACCCCAAACACACCCUACGCUCCUUAUCCUUCCCUUUCCAUAAACCUCAUAACCAUUGCCUUAAAAUCUCAACCCGUCUUCUCCAAUUUCGGAUCUGAAAAUGCUGAAGAAAACCUAAAUUCUUCCUUUUCUAAUUACUCCUUAACCCCGGCUUAUUUGAACUCAAAACCUAAAUCAAUUAAUUGCUCUUGAUGAGAGCAGUCGAUUGAUGUUAGUCUCAGUUCAACCCACGGCCAUCGGAGUUUGUUCGAUUUACCGGAGUUUGGUUGGAAUUUCAUCGUCAUUCCUUGAAUGACUACUAGGUAAUUUCUCUACUCUAUUUUAUUUUCCUUCUUUUCUUUUCUUUCUUCUUUUUCCUUGUUUUUCUUUUCAAACAUAUAACUCUUCUGUUCCUUCUCAAUUUCUUCUUUAGAUUGUUUGCGCUAAUGAUUAAGAGGUUUAAUUACUCAUUAAUUUAGUGUAAACAUAUAACAUUAGUUUAAUCGAUUUUAGAUUAGUUUGGACAAUUGGAAUAUUUUACUUGUUAAAUUGGGCACCGGUUUUCUUUUGUUUCUGCUUUUGCAUGAUUUACUUGUAAGCUAAUUGCAUGUGUUAGAUUAAUUGAAUCAAUUUUAAUUAGUUCAGUAAUCUAGUUUAGGUAUAUUAGUUAUUUGUUUCUAUUUCAUUUGAUCUGUGAUUUGUUUUUUGAUAGUUUGAUUGCUGAUUCUUAAUGUCAAUGGGAAUUAAGGGGGUUGAAAGGGUAAUUAGUAAGAGGGUCAAAGGGAUUCGAAAAUUUAGUAAAUCUGAGCUGUUUAUUCGGGGAAGUCUCUAGAAGGCAUUAAAGUGCAUAUAAAAUAAGAAAUUGGAUCAAUUUUGGGGUAAAGGGGUAGUUUUCAGAAGAUAAAGGUUUUAUAAAAUAGAGAAAAUAUCUUAAAUUGGACAGCUCUUUCAUUUUUCAGUUGAAAAUUUUUUUUAAAAUUUAGCUAACUGCUUCCCCCAUACUGCUCUGAUUUUUUCUCUCAUAAGAGCACAUGCUCACAUCCUAUAAAGGGACUCCUCCUCCUCUCAUUUUACACACACUAAUUCCUGCAUUUUCAGAUAUAUUCCUUUUAACUCAUCUUUAUUCUAAUUUUCUCACAAAAAUUUGGAAUUCUAGCCUUUCAAUCUCAAAAAAUAUCAGAAAAACUUAAAAAAAAAUUAGUUAUCUUUAUUCAUUGGUAUUGGGAUUCAUCUUUCUGGCUUUUAAAGUUCAAUUUACCUUGAAUUCCUGCUAUUUGCUACUGCACGGUCAAGCUAUUGUUUGAAUUUGAGUUCUGACUACAAUUCUUCAAAGUCAGAGAUUUAUUUUCUCUUCUAUCUGUUGUGUUUGCUGCUAUUGAGGCAUUACCCUUUAUUAAACAAUGUAAACUUCAGGUUUUGCUUGAAUGAUGAAGUUGUUUUGUUUAUCCUGUCAAGUUUCAGUUUGUGAUUAUUGUUUGGUGUUUGCUAAACUAUAUGUUUUUUAACUACUGUUGGAAUAUGGCUAUGAGUUAGGAAUUGCAUUAUUGCAUCUUAAGGUAUAUAACCUGACUUCAAGCCAUGCAGUUGAUGUUUAGAUUGUGUCCAUAUUAUAAAACUUUCUUGGUUUAUUGGUUGAUGUAUAUGCGGGGAUGUUCCUUCCUGUUGACUGUAAAUGGCUAGUGUAAUAAAUUUAUAAACAUGUUUAAGUAGCAAAAACAGCUAUUGCAAAUCAAAUCUACUAUUUGGUUCCAUCACUACUUAAGCAUGCUUCAAUAAGUUGCAUUGAAAUAGAAUCUAUUGUUUCCCUGAUUCAAAUUUGAGCUUGGUUUGUCCAGUUCAUCAGUCAUGUUUAAAGAAGCAUUUAUUGGGUUAAAGUUUAUCAAUCUUCAAAUUUAAUCACUAGUUGGUCAAGUAUGAUGAUUGAUAGGGUCCAGACAUUGUUGGAGUGCAUCAGUUGAUAAUCUUUUCCAAAGGAAGAAUCUGGAAACUAUCACCAUGGAUCGAUAUUUGAAGGCAUUUUAAUUUUGUCUUUUUUUUUACCCUUGAUUAUUUCAUAUAAGGAUAAUAUCUGGGUUGUAUGAGGUAAAUUGUUUUGCUACUUAUCAUGAGAUGAAGAAGUUUGGAGGAUUUGUUACACAUGUUCAAAUAAAUAGCUAAAUGUUUAAAGGACAGGCAGCAAAUAAAUAAAGUAUGGACUAUUUUCCGAAUUUGGAGUUGCAAUUGACAAUGACCGUUAAUGAGUUAAGCAGAAUUGAAUUUGUAAUGUGUAGAUUAUUGUAAUUUGUAAAUCGCUAUUCAUGUUAAUUAUUGAUAAUGUGAUGCAUAUGUUUAUCUGAGUCUAUAUUCAUGUUGAUUAUUGACAAUGUGAUGCUUAUGUUUAAUUAAGUCUAGGCUGAAGUUAAGUAGGCAUGUAUGCAAUUUUUUUUUAAUGUUCAUUGAUUGUAAACAAAAUGUUGGAAAAAGCCCUGGCCAUGAUGAAGGCCAGGCUCAUGCGUUUGGGCCAGACUUCAGAAAGAAGUCAGCAGUGGAAUGUCUCAUAGCUAGGCUUCAUAUGAAAGCCCAUUUGG
RNAcentral lists this long non-coding RNA (2714 nucleotides) under Nicotiana benthamiana. RNAcentral's name for it is "long non-coding RNA (NBEN_LNC003116)". Lineage: Eukaryota; Viridiplantae; Streptophyta; Magnoliopsida; Solanales; Solanaceae. The record is from RNAcentral.